Molecule: ribosomal RNA, 440 nt
Filed under: uncultured bacterium
Lineage: Bacteria
Description: partial 16S ribosomal RNA
Rfam family: Bacterial small subunit ribosomal RNA
Source: RNAcentral
CCUACGGGAGGCAGCAGUGGGGGAUAUUGCACAAUGGGGGAAACCCUGAUGCAGCGACGCCGCGUGUGGGAAGACGGUCCUCUGGAUUGUAAACCACUGUCCCCAGGGACGAAGAUGACGGUACCUGGGGAGGAAGCUCCGGCUAACUACGUGCCAGCAGCCGCGGUAAUACGUAGGGAGCGAGCGUUGUCCGGAAUUACUGGGGUUAAAGGGAGCGUAGGCGGGGAUGCAAGUUGGGUGUCAAAACUACCGGCUCAACUGGUAGUCGCACUCAAAACUGCAGCUAUUGAGUGAAGUAGAGGCAUGCGGAAUUCCUAGUGUAGCGGUGAAAUGCGUAGAUAUUAGGAGGAACACCAGUGGCGAAGGCGGCCUGCUGGGCUUUUACUGACGCUGAGGGUCGAAAGUGUGGGGAGCAAACAGGAUUAGAUACCCUAGUAGUC